This 476-nucleotide ribosomal RNA is filed under the name uncultured bacterium. RNAcentral describes it as "partial 16S ribosomal RNA". It matches the Rfam family "Bacterial small subunit ribosomal RNA", at positions 28 to 523 of the family's 1533-position model. The record is from RNAcentral.
GAUGAACGCUGGCGGCGUGCUUAACACAUGCAAGUCGAGCGAGUGAGUUCUUCGGAACGAUCUAGCGGCGGACGGGUGAGUAACACGUGGGCAACCUGCCUCAUAGAGGGGAAUAGCCUCCCGAAAGGGAGAUUAAUACCGCAUAAAAUUAUCGAGUGGCAUCACAUGAUAAUCAAAGGAGUAAUCCGCUAUGAGAUGGGCCCGCGGCGCAUUAGCUAGUUGGUGAGGUAACGGCGCACCAAGGCGACGAUGCGUAGCCGACCUGAGAGGGUGAUCGGCAACAUUGAGACUGAGACACGGCCCAGACUCCUACGGGAGGCAGCAGUGGGGAAUAUUGCACAAUGGGUGAAACCCUGAUGCAGCAACGCCGCGUGAGUGAUGAAGGUCUUCGGAUUGUAAAGCUCUGUCUUUGGGGACGAUAAUGACGGUACCCAAGGAGGAAGCCACGGCUAACUACGUGCCAGCAGCCGCGGUAA